This 1009-nucleotide ribosomal RNA is filed under the name Leuconostoc gelidum. RNAcentral describes it as "bacterial SSU rRNA". It matches the Rfam family "Bacterial small subunit ribosomal RNA", at positions 31 to 1022 of the family's 1533-position model. The record is from RNAcentral. Lineage: Bacteria; Bacillati; Bacillota; Bacilli; Lactobacillales; Lactobacillaceae.
AAAUGACGGGGGGCGUGCUAUACAUGCAAGUCGAACGCACAGCGAAAGGUGCUUGCACCUUUCAAGUGAGUGGCGAACGGGUGAGUAACACGUGGACAACCUGCCUCAAGGCUGGGGAUAACAUUUGGAAACAGAUGCUAAUACCGAAUGAAACUUAGUGUCGCAUGAUACGAAGUUAAAAGGCGCUUUGGCGUCACCUAGAGAUGGAUCCGCGGUGCAUUAGUUAGUUGGUGGGGUAAAGGCCUACCAAGACAAUGAUGCAUAGCCGAGUUGAGAGACUGAUCGGCCACAUUGGGACUGAGACACGGCCCAAACUCCUACGGGAGGCUGCAGUAGGGAAUCUUCCACAAUGGGCGAAAGCCUGAUGGAGCAACGCCGCGUGUGUGAUGAAGGCUUUCGGGUCGUAAAGCACUGUUGUAUGGGAAGAACAGCUAGAAUAGGGAAUGAUUUUAGUUUGACGGUACCAUACCAGAAAGGGACGGCUAAAUACGUGCCAGCAGCCGCGGUAAUACGUAUGUCCCGAGCGUUAUCCGGAUUUAUUGGGCGUAAAGCGAGCGCAGACGGUUGAUUAAGUCUGAUGUGAAAGCCCGGAGCUCAACUCCGGAAUGGCAUUGGAAACUGGUUAACUUGAGUGCAGUAGAGGUAAGUGGAACUCCAUGUGUAGCGGUGGAAUGCGUAGAUAUAUGGAAGAACACCAGUGGCGAAGGCGGCUUACUGGACUGUAACUGACGUUGAGGCUCGAAAGUGUGGGUAGCAAACAGGAUUAGAUACCCUGGUAGUCCACACCGUAAACGAUGAACACUAGGUGUUAGGAGGUUUCCGCCUCUUAGUGCCGAAGCUAACGCAUUAAGUGUUCCGCCUGGGGAGUACGACCGCAAGGUUGAAACUCAAAGGAAUUGACGGGGACCCGCACAAGCGGUGGAGCAUGUGGUUUAAUUCGAAGCAACGCGAAGAACCUUACCAGGUCUUGACAUCCUUUGAAGCUUUUAGAGAUAGAAGUGUUCUCUUC